Molecule: long non-coding RNA, 442 nt
Filed under: Gallus gallus (chicken)
Lineage: Eukaryota; Metazoa; Chordata; Aves; Galliformes; Phasianidae
Source: RNAcentral
GGAAAGGCUGAAGGAGAGGGCAGACAGUGUUGAUUUUUUUUUUUCAGUUAAUGUGUGUGUACUGGACCUGCAAGCAUCUUUAAGGCAUGAAAAACAAUCUCAUGCUGCAGAUGCGACCAGCUAAUUCCUAUCAGUAGACUGACAGAUGUUUGUGCUUCCUCUUGAUCUAAUGCAAAGUAGGCUGAGCCCUACAGCUGUUUAAAUGUGUCAAUAUUCACCUACAUGCACGUAUCUAGCACCACUGUCACCAGUAACAUAAAAGUCUCUCUAUGCACACAGUUGUGAGAUUCUUACCUCCAAGUGUGUAGCAGUUCAGGAAAGAGUGGCAGCUUCUGCAGCAGAAAUCCUCAAGGAUCUUUUAGGGGGAAGAUAUUGGGAUGCCUACCAAAGUUAUUCCAAAAAUAUGGAUAACCUGUAUGUAGCUUGGAAAGGAAGAUCCUGA